GCAUGGUGUUUAUAAAAACACAGGCGACGAAAGGUUACGAUGGAAUAGUUGUUUGUUUGUUUGUUUGUUUUAUUAAGACCUCUGCUGUCAAAGACACCCUUUGUCUCUGAUGUGGACUGUCUGUGCCUUGACAGUAUAUGAAUGAAUGAAUGAAUGACCUUAAUUGUACACGGUGCAAUGCAUGGCAGUAACUAUUACACAGAGUGUGAAAUAAAGGUAUUGGGUAAGACUGAAUAUCCUUAUUACUAUAACAAUAAAUGCUAGCAUAAAUUUCGAUAUCAAAUUUCAAUCGAGCGGGGAUUAUCAUGAGCGUCAGUAUAUUUUCUAAUAACAUUGUUAACAAAGCUGUCUCCUAUAUUUGCCUAUUUUUGCGUUGUGCCAUUGAAGAUACUUUAUAUUUAUAUACAUUCAAAUCUGUCUGUAGCAUCUAGUCUCUUAAAAUCUGAUCUACUUGAUUCUAUAAAUGUUAAUAACUUACGACGUAACGUAUUAUAUCUAGAAUAAUCUACAACGAAGUGGAAUUCAUUUUCAUAUGGAUAAAAUGUUGGUUUAUUAGGGGAUUAAUCGCCUCAUGGCCGAUUGACAAUGUCACACUGGUGACCCUAAGUAGCCCAUUGAGAGUCCCAAAGCACAGACUGCCAGACCAGCUGCAUGCAGGACAUCUGGAGCGGAUUUCAGCCCAUUCCAGUAUACCGUGCCCGUGGGGACAGCUGUGUCUGUUAAAUCAUAACACUCGCACCACAUGUACAACUGAAACCCGAGCUCAGGGGACAGUGUUAAACAGGUGCCCACUGACAAGCUUAGUACUGGGAGUUGAUGGGGACAUCUGUGGAAACGUUCCACUCGCAACACCACCUGUACAACUGGAUCCUAUGCUUAGGGGACAGUGUUUAAAACAGGUACUAGUACCCACUGUCACGUUAUUGUUGACGCAAAUUUUACAUCAAUGAAUGUAAAUCUUACAUUAGAAUCUCAAAUAGGCUAUGCAGCAAAGAAGUGCAAUAUCAGCAUGAUCAAGAUCCACGCAGACAGAAGGUGGCACUGAUUUAAGCUGGUACUGACACGGCUGGGUACAUCUAAGGAUAAAAACAACUUCAAGUUUCAAGCGAUACAAAACAGAGCGGCCAGGAUCACCCUUAGAUGCGACAGGUCCGACAGGUCCAGAGACUCUUUACAGUUUACUGCAGAUGCUAAUGUUAGUGCCGUUAAACUUGAAAAACAUGAUCCAGCAGAAAACUUAGUGACUUUUCAUGAGUCAUGAAAACAAACCAUAAGUGUCAAUAUGUAGACUACUCACAAUGCAAGAUCACUGUUAUCAGACCAAAUCUUCAAAGUCAGAAAAUAUCCGCUCUCUGAAACCCAGAACAAAUUUAAAUGCUCAAAACUGAACAAUUUCUGCACAGAACGUCUAACACAUGGAAUAGUUUGCUGUAAGGAAAUUAGAUUUUGUCCCAUUGUUCAUGGAUCUUACGUAGACUUCCUACUUUUUGUGACUCUUUUGAAAAGUUGCUGUAUAUGAUAUUUUCCUGUGGCUGUGUGUUAUCUAGAUUUGUUCCAUGGAUAUUGAUGAAUAAAGGAUAACAGGAAGAAUACAGAUGCUAUAGACAUUGUAAAAGCUAAUCGUGUCUCCAAAUAAAUUCAUAGGAUGUUACCAACAUAUAGAUAGCUGUGUGUCAGUACUGUUAUCAAUUACCACAUGUGCAAUGAUUGAUGACCAGAUGGACAGACAGCUGGGCGGAGAUUUGUGUGGAAAGCAGGGUGGACGUUAUUUGUUGGGAGGAAAAGUGGGAGGAGAGAAGGGUGGACCUUAUUGGGUGUUUACAUGUUAGAUCAACCCAAAGGCGGAGCACAGAGAUAGGGAAGAGCAUUCGAGAACUUUUGAGUGAACACAAUAGACCCUCCAGUGAUGGGAGCAGACGUACUGGAUGGGAGCAGACGUAAUCAGGCGUCUAGUCUAUCAUCGUUCAGGCGAUCUUUGGCCGAGUUUUCUUGGGGACAGACGGACACAGAACAGCACAAAAGGAAUUACAACAUAUGAAGGAUGGAAAGAUGGCCCAACCAGAUCCCACAGCUUGUCAUGAGAACAAGUUACACAGACGGAUGCUGUUCAAACAAUUUUCCUGAACAGCGAGCUCUACAAGGCGACAACGACAACAGUCACAAGAAAUUAAUAGUUGAACUUGGGCGACAAUCAGAUUGAUAGUAACCGUAGCUUUACAAUGCAACACAAUCUAUCACCUCAACGAAACGGAAGUCAAUGCACAUGUAGUCAGGCUUGACUCUAUAGUUCCAGGAAUUUUGUAAGCAUGCAAACAAUUUAUUAUACGGCCAACAGAAUUACAAAAGAAAUGUUUUGCUUGAAUGUAUUACCAAGUGUCAUUGUUAUAGAAGUAAAUCCAAAGUUAUAGGAAUGACGCAUCGUUGCCAUUCUCUGCCAGGUUUUUAUAUUCUCUGUGUUUUGUCUUGAGAUAUGAUAAAAGUAUAUAUGAUGUGUAUGUUGAUGAAAUAAAAGGUAUAGGCAAUUGUGUGGAUCGUUUGUUUUGGAAAUGAGUAGUCUUUAAAAUGUGGACAGUCAUGGCCUUUUCUGCUUUCUACAAAUAUCUUGCAAAUAAAAAUUGUUUCAAAUCAGAUUUAAUAGAUUCAAAAUACGACUGUGUUCACAGGUGAAACAAAAAAAACCUACUUUAAACAUUAAAGCUUUAAUAUAGUGUUCCUAUUUCUCUCAAAGAACACCAAAAGAGCGAUUGAGAGUUGUAAUAUAAAUCUUAAUUGCCAGAAACAGAAAAACGUCCUUAAUGCAUUGAUUAUGACAAUGUUUUUUUGUGCUGAAAGAAGCAAAUUGCCCGAAACAAUAAAUCAUGUGACGGUAAAAUACCAAGCAACAAAGGCCAUUUCUGUUCCGACAAAAGACCAAACAGGCAAAGGCUACCUCAAAACGAAUUCCCCAGGGAAUGCAUUCGUGCAAUUUUUGGAAUAUUUUCAAAGCAAUCGUAAUACUGUAGAAUGCCUCCGCCCCUGAGGCG
Long non-coding RNA from Branchiostoma floridae (Florida lancelet), 3023 nucleotides. RefSeq lists it as uncharacterized. Lineage: Eukaryota; Metazoa; Chordata; Leptocardii; Amphioxiformes; Branchiostomatidae. The record is from RefSeq and is a predicted model, not a curated record. The transcript is spliced from 3 exons.